GACGAACGCUGGCGGCGUGCUUAACACAUGCAAGUCGAACGGAAAGGCCCUGCUUUUGUGGGGUGCUCGAGUGGCGAACGGGUGAGUAACACGUGAGUAACCUGCCCUUGACUUUGGGAUAACUUCAGGAAACUGGGGCUAAUACCGGAUAGGAGCUCCUGCUGCAUGGUGGGGGUUGGAAAGUUUCGGCGGUUGGGGAUGGACUCGCGGCUUAUCAGCUUGUUGGUGGGGUAGUGGCUUACCAAGGCUUUGACGGGUAGCCGGCCUGAGAGGGUGACCGGCCACAUUGGGACUGAGCUACGGCCCAGACUCCUACGGGAGGCAACAGUGGGGAAUAUUGCACAAUGGGCGGAAGCCAGAUGCAGCAACGCCGCGUGCGGGAUGACGGCCUUCGGUUUGUAAACCGCUUUCGCCUGUGACGAAGCGUGAGUGACGGUAAUGGGUAAAGAAGCACCGGCUAACUACGUG
RNAcentral lists this ribosomal RNA (468 nucleotides) under uncultured bacterium. RNAcentral's name for it is "partial 16S ribosomal RNA". It matches the Rfam family "Bacterial small subunit ribosomal RNA", at positions 28 to 507 of the family's 1533-position model. The record is from RNAcentral.